CAUCAUUAAAAAAUUAUACCAUUUUUUUUGCGUCGUACACACAAAAAUAAUGGAUAUAGGAGUAAGCACAGACACCGAUUUUGUCUUAAAUUUUAGUACUCUAAAAGAGGAGUUGAACAACUUUAGAACGUACAAACAAACAUUUCAUACAUAUGAUGUACUAUAUAAUGAUAAAGACAUUGAGAUAGAAAAACUAAAUGAGUACGAGGAAAGAUUUAAUAAGUUAAGUAAAUGUAUAACACAUUUUGAUAAUAUUCAUAAUAAAUUAAAAAAUUUGAAUAAAUUAAAUAAUAACAUAAAAGAACAAUUUGAAGAGAGUAGUAAAAUUCCAAGUGGAAUUUUAAUCCAAAUUGAGAAUUUAAAGAAAGAUACUAUUGCUAUUAAAAAAAAAGAAAAAAUAUAUGAUCAUAUUUUAGAAGCGUAUACUUUAAGUCCAAUAUGUUAUAAAAAUUUAACCGAUAUUAAAAUUUCAUUAAAUGUUGAGUUUUUUGAACAUUUAAAACAGUUUGAAUCUAUUAAAAAAAAUAUUUUAAAAUUAUUAAAUGAAAACCCGUCUGAUAAAAUAACUAAAUUUUACUUAAAACAUUUUCAAAAAAUAGUGAAUAAAGCUUGUAAAAAAAUGUGUUUAUUCGUUAUUAAGGAGGACAGAAAUAUAUAUGAAAAAUAUGUAACAUCAGUAGCAAACGCAGGUAAAAAUAGACACACGGGAAAUAUUUACAAUGUAAGCAACAAAAACAACAAUAGUAUCAAAAAAAAUAGAAGCAAAAUAAUUAUUAACCUAUUACUAUGUAGCUGCGAUGCCGAAACUGAAAAAAGGAAAAAUAUUAUAAAAAAAUGUAUAAAUAAUUUUUCAAAUAUAAAAAAAUUAUGCUACAAAGUAAUAAUUGAAAAUGUAGAAUACUUUAAUAUUUGUUUAAGUAAUUUUAUAUUUUUUCGAAAAAAACUAUUAAGAAUCAAUUAUAAUUAUUUUUUAUAUAAUAUUAAUUAUAAUACAAUUAUAAAAAAAAGUAAAUUCUUAGAAAAUGAUGAUAUUAGUAUUAUAAAAGAUGAAUCUGUACUAAAUUUAAAAAAUUUUUUUUUGAUCAUUUAUUACUUAAUAAUAUUAGAAGAUACAUUUUUUAAAAUCUUUUUAUUAUUUCAUUUUUAUUACAAUAACAAUAAUUUAUCAUAUAUAUAUGCAAACAUGGAAAAUAUGCAUAACAAUUUAUA
RNAcentral lists this long non-coding RNA (1209 nucleotides) under Piliocolobus tephrosceles (Ugandan red Colobus). RNAcentral's name for it is "lncRNA (ENSPTEG00000007754.1)". Lineage: Eukaryota; Metazoa; Chordata; Mammalia; Primates; Cercopithecidae. The record is from RNAcentral.